UGUGCACAGCACUGACCUCAGUAGUAAGCGGUUAUAGCAGAUGCACCACAAGCCCUGCUCUUAAGGAAUUGACGGAUUAAUGGAGGAGGAGGGAAAUAAGGCUUAUUAAAGAAGUAGAGGAUUAUAAAAAUAAUUUUAUGAAGGAGAAGGAAUUUGAGAUAUAUGCCCAAGAACAAGGAGAGAGUGUUUCAGAUGGUGGAUGCAGUAAAAAAAUAAAAGUGUAAAGAUUCCAAAGUGAGAUUGAACAUGGGAAUGGAAGUGAGAAAUAAAAAACAAUGAGCUUUGUAGAUGACUAGGUGCAUGUUGUAUGUGGGGGGGGGGUGGGUAUAGACGUGCAUUUGUAAGUUUAGGUACUGGGGUGGAGAUGGCAUGUCCCCAAAAGCCACCUCACCACAAGUGGCCCAUCAGCUUUAGGCAUUUAAUCAAGGCUGCAGUUUCCACAAGACCAAAAUUGCAAAGAACUAACUUGCCAGCUAUUUCAGCUGAUUGUGCUACUGCCAACCAUCCUUUCUUUUGCCCUCUGAAAUGAGAGGCUCAUGUCUCUGUUCAUGACCCUGUAGCAAACUGGGGUCAUCUCUCACCCAUUUCCAGGCUAAUGAAGAUUAUAUGCACUGUCAUUGACUUGUUCAGUCAAAUACAGUGAGCUGUCGUGUUUAUUUUACUUGUGUUUUAAUUUUGUGGCUCUUGGCAGUUUGACAUUCAUUUAGUAAGUGUUGAGUCUUGGCUAAAAGCUGAGUACUAAAGAUAGGAUUAAUUCAUUCAACAAAAUAUUCGUAGUGGCCCUACUUUGUAUCGGGCACGGUACUUGGUACUGACUCUCCCGGGAGUGAAUAAAAGAAAAAUAUCCCUGUACCCACGCAGCUUAUGGUCUUAUGGGGGAGAGUGAAAUUUAAGAAACAAGUACACAUUAAAAUGCUAUUGCCAUUGUGAUCAGUACUGCUAAGUCAGCAGUCCCCAACCUUUUUGGCACCAGGGACCGGUUUCGUGGAAGACGUUUUUUCCACGGGGUAGCGGGGGAUUGUUCAGGUGGAAAUGAGAGCGACAGGGAGCGGCGGAUGCUGAAGCUCCGCUCGCGCGCCCACUGCCCUCCUGUGCGGCCCGGGUCCUAACAGGCCGUGGACUGCUACCGGUCCACAGCCCGGGGGUUGGGGACCCCUGCUGUAAAUGAAAGAACGCUAAAGGAGAGAGUAAAGGGAAGCCUGCCUUCCAUUAGGCUGUUAGGGAAAGCCUCAGAAAAAGUGAUACUUGUGCUGAAGUCUGAGAGAUGAAGAGGAUUUAGCCAGAGCUUAGACAGGUGGGAGUGAGAGGUGGGAGCUGGGCAGAGAAGAGGCCUUGCUGAGGACCUGAAGAAGGAAAGAGCUAAUGAAUAAAUGGAUGAGAAGGACAUGGUCCCUGUUCUCUUAAAUUGUGUUAAAGUGAUGGAUUUAUAAACAAAAAUAUUUACGUUACAUUGUGACAGGUAUGAUAAUCGUGGUUUGGGUAAGUGCUAACUUAGUUUGUUGAAAUCAUGCACUCUGGGAAGGCUUUUUCAAAUAGUAGAUUUUUAAGCUAGACCUUAAGGAUAAAUAGGUAUUUAUAGGAGUGUAGGAAGAAGUUCUUUAUACAGUAAAUGGGUUCAGAAAAAAAUGCCUAUAAGUUCUUGAUGUUACUGAUUGGGGGGAGGGGGACAGCUAUAAUAUAUGUAUUGUAAAUUAUUUCUAAAAUCUUAAGCCCAGUGAAUAUAAAUAAUUGAAAUAAAAAGCAGGAAUGAUCAUAUUCAGAAAACUGUAGAUUUUGAGUUUUGUCUAUUUUAUAACAUUUUAAUAUGGUAAAUACGCUGUUUCGUUAUCCUGUCUUAAAGUUUGGCAUAUAUAUAAGCCAGAUUUCGAAAGACUGAUUUUUUCCCCUAGGUAUUUAUUGUUUUUUUAAUUAUUGCGAAAAAUGCGAACAUAGGAAAAUUGCAGAGUGUAAUGAAUUGCCAUAUGCCUGUCACCUAAACGUAACAUUUUUCAGUUGCUUCAUUUUUUAACUGAAAUGUCUUAAAAACAUGGCAUUUCCCCCCAAACACAUAAAUAUGCAUUUCUGAAAAAUAAGGACAUUUUCCUACAUAACCAUAAAACCAUCAUCAGGCAUAAAAAAACUAACAGUAAGCUCUUAAUAUUACCUAAACCAGUCCUUGUGCAGGUUCCCCCAGUUAUCCCCAACGAGGUUCACGUAAUCUAUUUGGUUGAAUCACGUCUGUCUCUUUGCUCUCUUAAUCUAGAAUAGUUCCCUCCACCCAUCCAACCUUUUAUUUUUCUUAUACUACAUUUUCUUGUUGAAAACGGGACCAUUGACUGUUUACUGUCCCACCUUUUGAAUUUGUCUGAAUAAUGUCCUCUUUCCCUGGAUUUUCUGUAAGCUGAAUUAGGUCUAAAAACUUGAUUGUAUUUAGAUUACUGUUCACACUUGAAUAACUCAGGGGUUAGGGGCGCCAGCUUUCCACGCAGUCAGAAAUCCACGUGUAACUUUUGGUUGGGCCUCCAUAUGCUCGGUUUCUCUGUAUCCAGGACUCUGCACCCACCGAUUCAACCAACUGCAGAUCGUGUAGUACUCUAGUAUUUAUUUACUCUUGGAAGAAAUCUGCAUUAUAAGUGGACCUGCACAGUUCAAACCUGUGUUGUUCAAGGGUCAACUGUAUAUAUUUAACCUUUUUGAAGUAUAAAGAAAUGCAAUAAAAAGGUCCCAUACUUUGGCUUCCAGUAUAACUUCUGUUCCUGCUUACCCUCCUCCUUCCCUCCCUUCCUUUCUCCACAUAUGAGAACAUAGUUAGAAAAUCCGAAUAGUACAGAAAGACACAAAACAAAUUGAAAGCUUCUCUCCACUUUUCCCCAAAGUCAACCACUGAUGAUAUUUUUCUUUCCAUAUGAAAAUGUGCAUUUACCAACAUGCUUCAGUGUGGAAGCUUGACUUGUUUUUUAAGUACAUCAAAGGUGACUUUAAAAACAACCUUUGGAUUAAACUGACUCAUCCACAGCUUUCUAGAUAAUGUUUCAUUAUUGAAUUUCUAAAAGCAUGUCUUCUAAAUGUCAUUCUAAAAUGGUUCAAACUAGUAUUUCCAUUUUAUUAUUAUUAAACUACACAAUUCGGUUUCUUCGCUUAGAGACUCCUCCACACAGACAGCCAAGGAAGCCGAUGAGUAUCUGACUGAGCCCAAACAGGGUCUCAAGAAUGCCCACAAGCAGUAGACCUAAAAAUACUGAGAAAUGGAUAAUCCUAUGCUUGUUUUCCAUAGAAUUGAAGUGUAAGCUGUAUGUUCUCCAGUUACUGGCUGUUGCGUUGUUGAUGGAGGGAUUAUUGAAAUCCGUAGGAGAAACACAAGAGUCGUCAAAGAACCACUGCAGAUCGAAGGAUUCUGGAUGAAUGGCACUGGACAAAAUGAAAGAAAUGAUAAAGAUAAGAUAUUCAGGAAUACCACUGACCGUCUAAAGAACGCAGCAUUGUGCCUAGAAAAGGACAUGUAUGGUAAAACAGAAAGUGCUUUUGAAACAUCGUGCCCAGAAACUAUAGCUAAGAUGAGGGUUUCUGAGCAUGUGCCGUUGUACUCUUAACAGUUGUAAAACGUUGACAUCGUAUAUCCCAUCACUCAACAAGCAUCUACAGAGGAUCUACUCUUAGGUUGAACUGUAUGAAAUUUUCUGUGUCAGAAAGGGUUGAAUAUUAAGUUUCCUGUGGUCGCACCUAUUCAUGCAGGCACUCUUCUACUGGCUAAAGAAACUAAAACAAGCUCCCCCGUUCAAGGAGCUCAGUUCUUAGUGCAAAACUGGUGUGUUGCGUCUGUUCUUAAACCCGAUGUACAAUGUUUACUCACAAAAGGCAUUUCAAAUAUGUCUGGUUAAAACCUUGUUGUAACAAGGUAUGGAGAAUGAGAAACUUUUAGCCCUAACACAUCUGUCCUGACAUGAUUUAUCUUUGGUUUUCUACAGUAGGACUAAGUGUUCUUAGAGAGUUUGCAUUUCUGCAUACCAGCAACUGAUGUGCAGCCUGGGAAGAACAACAGCAUGUCAGCACGUGGAAUAUGAGUAUGCUCAUUGCAGUUUGCAGCGAGCGUAGGGUCACUCUUCUGUAAUUGUUUACUCUCCGUAACUGUCUGUCUCCCCAACUAGAGUGGGAAUACCUUGAUGCUGUGACCUCCAGCUUGGCCUGGUGCCUGGUACAUGUUUUACAAAUUGUGCCUAGAUUCAGGCCCAGAACCAUCUUACAAGACUGAAAUGAGCCAUUUCCAUGUAACUCUUCAGCAUUAUUUGUUACUCUGACCGGCCCUGCCACUGGAGCCACGCGGUGAUUCAGGAGAUGCUGACGCCUCGGCGGCUUUGCUGAGAUGCCGGUAACUGCUUAUGCACCAGACCAGCUGUGCUGUGCUCACCCCGGUUUUGUUAUUGCAGCAUGCUCUUUUCCUCGCUGCUAAGGACAUCGUUGUUGCUGGAAUGACCUGGAAAUUACAUCAACAGGAACAAAGAAUAUUAUUACUUCUCAUCAGUUGAUAAAGCAAUAAUCUUCACUUUCUACUUGCCAGCAGUUGUGGGAAGCCAAGAGGCUUAAGAGAAGAAAAAGGAGAUGUGACAAUGUCCUUGAUCUUGUGACCCUUAACGAUCCCCAUUUGGACCAUAAAGAUUAAAAAGGGGGAAAAGAUGGGGGAUUUCAGUAUAGCAAUUUAAAACUUCCAUCUACAUUUUUACUUUGAGUCAUUAGAGAGACUUGGAUUUUAAAUAAAGUUAUUUAUUCAUUAUUUUGGAGGAAUGUUUCUGAA
Lagenorhynchus albirostris (white-beaked dolphin) is the source of this 4768-nucleotide long non-coding RNA. RefSeq lists it as uncharacterized. The record is from RefSeq and is a predicted model, not a curated record. The transcript is spliced from 3 exons. NCBI's taxonomy places the organism in Eukaryota, Metazoa, Chordata, Mammalia, Artiodactyla, Delphinidae.